GCGCAGCAGUCGAGAAUCCUCCGCAAUGCGGGCAACCGCGACGGGGGACCCCAGUGCCGUGGCAUCGCCACGGCUUUUCCGGAGUGUAAAAAGCUCCGGGAAUAAGGGCUGGGCAAGGCCGGUGGCAGCCGCCGCGGUAAUACCGGCGGCCCGAGUGGUGGCCGCUAUUAUUGGGCCUAAAGCGUCCGUAGCCGGGCCUGUAAGUCCCUGGCGAAAUCCCACGGCUCAACCGUGGGGCUUGCUGGGGAUACUGCAGGCCUUGGGACCGGGAGAGGCCGGGGGUACCCCUGGGGUAGGGGUGAAAUCCUAUAAUCCCAGGGGACCGCCAGUGGCGAAGGCGCCCGGCUGGAACGGGUCCGACGGUGAGGGACGAAGGCCAGGGGAGCGAACCGGAUUAGAUACCCGGGUAGU
RNAcentral lists this ribosomal RNA (411 nucleotides) under uncultured microorganism. RNAcentral's name for it is "bacterial SSU rRNA". It matches the Rfam family "Archaeal small subunit ribosomal RNA", at positions 330 to 745 of the family's 1478-position model. The record is from RNAcentral.